UGGGGAAUAUUGGGCAAUGGAGGAAACUCUGACCCAGCAACGCCGCGUGAAUGAUGAAGGUCUUCGGAUUGUAAAGUUCUUUUCUAAGGGACGAAGAAAGUGACGGUACCUUAGGAAUAAGCCUCGGCUAACUACGUGCCAGCAGCCGCGGUAAUACGUAGGAGGCAAGCGUUAUCCGGAAUGACUGGGCGUAAAGGGUGCGUAGGUGGUUCAGCAAGUUGGCAGCGUAACUCCGGGGCUCAACCUCGGCACUACUGCCAAAACUGUCGAACUUGAGUGCAGGAGGGGCAAUCGGAAUUCCUAGUGUAGCGGUGGAAUGCGUAGAUAUUAGGAGGAACACCAGUGGCGAAGGCGGAUUGCUGGACUGUAACUGACACUGAGGCACGAAAGCGUGGGGAGCAAACA
This 405-nucleotide ribosomal RNA is filed under the name uncultured bacterium. Its description in RNAcentral is "bacterial SSU rRNA". It matches the Rfam family "Bacterial small subunit ribosomal RNA", at positions 355 to 774 of the family's 1533-position model. The record is from RNAcentral.